This is a long non-coding RNA of Paramacrobiotus metropolitanus, 566 nucleotides long. RefSeq lists it as uncharacterized. Lineage: Eukaryota; Metazoa; Tardigrada; Eutardigrada; Parachela; Macrobiotidae. The transcript is spliced from 3 exons. The record is from RefSeq and is a predicted model, not a curated record.
GGACCAACUUCGGGAAGCGGCGCCAUAGAAGUAAAAAGUGCCUAUAUGUGCCAAAACAAUGAAGGACACACAUGGCACAUUGACACAGCACAUCCCUUUAAUCUAUCUUCCAGUCUUUCAAAGCCAAAAGACGAGUUGCGAAAACCCACAGGUCUUUGGGACGGCUCGCCACCAUUCUGCGUUUCCAGUUGUGGACCAGAUCGCUAUGUGUUGGCAGAAUCCUUGUGCGGUGGAUCAUUUGGUGAAAACUUGUUGAUGUGUUGCUACUCUGGACACAAAAAGCUAUGCUGCCCACUUACGCAUCGUCAGAUGGAGGAAGACCCGGACAUGCAAUUCAUGUUUUACCCAUUCACGUACUGGCAGCACCCUGGGACAUACCCACCGUAUGAAGGGAAUUAAAUGUUGUUCCGUUUAUGGCUCGUACCUUUGCCUAAUUUUGCUUAAUGAGUUGAUUGUCGAUGUGUACCCUAAGUGGAAUUAUUUUUCAAGAGGUGUUGGUAAUUACCUAACAGACCGAUUGUGUAACUGGAGUUUUAAGAAAACCUAUUCGGAGCAGCUGCAGUAAA